RNAcentral lists this ribosomal RNA (513 nucleotides) under uncultured bacterium. RNAcentral's name for it is "bacterial SSU rRNA". It matches the Rfam family "Bacterial small subunit ribosomal RNA", at positions 26 to 518 of the family's 1533-position model. The record is from RNAcentral.
UGGCUCGAGGAUGAACGCUAGCUACAGGCUUAACACAUGCAAGUCGAGGGCAGCAUUAUCGAAGCUUGCUUGAUAGAGUGGCCGACCGGCGCGACGGGUGAGUAACGCGUAUCCAACCUCCCAUCACUCGAGGAUACGCCCGACCGAAAGGCGUAAUUAAUACCUGAUGGUCUCCUUUGCGGACAUCUAACGAGGAGUAAAGAUUUAUUGGUGAUGGAUGGGGAUGCGUCUGAUUAGGUAGUAGGCGGGGUAACGGCCCACCUAGCCGACGAUCAGUAGGGUUCUGAGAGGAAGGUCCCCCACAUUGGAACUGAGACACGGUCCAAACUCCUACGGGAGGCAGCAGUGAGGAAUAUUGGUCAAUGGACGGAAGUCUGAACCAGCCAAGUAGCGUGCCAGGAUGACGGCCCUAUGGGUUGUAAACUGCUUUUGUGCGGGAAUAAAGUUUGGGACGUGUCCCAUUUUGCAUGUACCGCACGAAUAAGGACCGGCUAAUUCCGUGCCAGCCGCAGC